RNAcentral lists this long non-coding RNA (557 nucleotides) under Homo sapiens (human). RNAcentral's name for it is "non-protein coding lnc-SMIM11B-3:1". The record is from RNAcentral. Lineage: Eukaryota; Metazoa; Chordata; Mammalia; Primates; Hominidae.
CCCGCGUGGGGCCCGGUGGGCUUCCCGGAGGGUUCCGGGGGUCGGCCUGCGGCGCGUGCGGGGGAGGAGACGGUUCCGGGGGACCGGCCGCGACUGCGGCGGCGGUGGUGGGGGGAGCCGCGGGGAUCGCCGAGGGGGUCCCCGUGGCGUCCCCUUCCCCGCCGGCCGCCUUUCUCGCGCCUUCCCCGUCGCCCCGGCCUCGCCCGUGGUCUCUCGUCUUCUCCCGGCCCGCUCUUCCGAACCGGGUCGGCGCGUCCCCCGGGUGCGCCUCGCUUCCCGGGCCUGCCGCGGCCCUUCCCCGAGGCGUCCGUCCCGGGCGUCGGCGUCGGGGAGAGCCCGUCCUCCCCGCGUGGCGUCGCCCCGUUCGGCGCGCGCGUGCGCCCGAGCGCGGCCCGGUGGUCCCUCCCGGACAGGCGUUCGUGCGACGUGUGGCGUGGGUCGACCUCCGCCUUGCCGGUCGCUCGCCCUUUCCCCGGGUCGGGGGGUGGGGCCCGGGCCGGGGCCUCGGCCCCGGUCGCGGUCCCCCGUCCCGGGCGGGGGCGGGCGCGCCGGCCGGC